GACGAACGCUGGCGGCGUGCCUAAUACAUGCAAGUUGAGCGCUGAAGGUUGGUACCUGUACCAACUGGAUGAGCAGCGAACGGGUGAGUAACGCGUGGGGAAUCUGCCUUUGAGCGGGGGACAACAUUUGGAAACGAAUGCUAAUACCGCAUAAAAACUUUAAACACAAGUUUUAAGUUUGAAAGAUGCAAUUGCAUCACUCAAAGAUGAUCCCGCGUUGUAUUAGCUAGUUGGUGAGGUAAAGGCUCACCAAGGCGAUGAUACAUAGCCGACCUGAGAGGGUGAUCGGCCACAUUGGGACUGAGACACGGCCCAAACUCCUACGGGAGGCAGCAGUAGGGAAUCAUCGGCAAUGGACGAAAGUCUGACCGAGCAACGCCGCGUGAGUGAAGAAGGUUUUCGGAUCGUAAAACUCUGUUGGUAGAGAAGAACGUUGGUGAGAGUGGAAAGCUCAUCAAGUGACGGUAACUACCCAGAAAGGGACGGCUAACUACGUG
RNAcentral lists this ribosomal RNA (497 nucleotides) under uncultured bacterium. RNAcentral's name for it is "partial 16S ribosomal RNA". It matches the Rfam family "Bacterial small subunit ribosomal RNA", at positions 28 to 507 of the family's 1533-position model. The record is from RNAcentral.